CCCUUUUGUAAUUAAGGCAUUCUACGUGCGACUUAAAUAAUUUAAAUGAUAACAAAAGAGCGGUUGCUCUCUGAUCUAAUUGCAGACACAAUCUGCAGAACCGUCUUCUAUGGGAUUUGAACUUGUGAAGUGUGAGGUGGAGACCUGAAUGUAACAAAUUGGUGUUAAGUGAAUAAUUCCAAACAUAUAAAAUUUAGAUCAUCACACCGAACGCAAACAGAACAAUUAAAUAAACAACUGAAGGCAUACGCAAUCUAAUUAGACAAAUAAGUGAACUUUCCCAUGCCGAAAUCUGAAAGGCCAACAGAAAUAUCUCAUUACAGCACAGAAGACAAAACUUAGGACAAAACUUAAAACUAAUCAAACUUAGGUGAACCAAUUAUAGAGAACAUAACCCUUGUAACCAAUCGGGAAAAGAUGCUUUUAAAUCCCAGAAAAAAAAAUUAAGAGGAGUUUUUUAAAAAACCAUCAUUUCAAUUAUUUUCCAGUCUUACAUUUGGAUUAAACAGAAAAUAUAAGUAAAAAUGCCAACUUUCUAAAAAAACUACAACUAUUUUUACAAAUUUCCAUUACCCAAUGCUGAAAAAUGAGAAUCACGAAGCAAUGAAGAACGGAACACGCGAGAACCAAAAAGUUAAAAACAACACGUAACCAUUUCAAAGACCCAAAAUCCUGCAAGGACAAAAAAAUCCCAUAAAAUCAGUACAUCAGCACUCCCUGCAAAACCCCAAAAUCAGAAAAUUAUAAAAAGAACCCAAAAUCAGUGGCAUGGUCCUCGUUUCUCCAUCAUUCAGUAGCUAAUGACCUAAUGGAAAAGAACCCAAAACAUACAGCUUAAAAUAUGGAAAGUGCUUAUAAAAGCUCAUGAAUAACGUUCAAAGCCUGCAUAGAAAUGGUAUAGCGCAGAUAACAACAAACAAUAAAACUAUGCACAGUAUAACCUAAAUCCGAUAUGUUGCAUUCCCCACACACAGAUUGUUCAAAAUUAAUUUCGUCUCCGUCUUUUUUCAAAUCUGAUAAAAUCCCCAAAACACAAAAAAUAGCAGCUAACUAUUUUUUGAACUCUGUAAACAACGAUAUGCAUCUUAACCCAUUUAACAUAUUCAUAAAAUAACAUCAAACACAUUUAUGCAUGAGAUAAUAUAGAAGUGAAGUCUCACAACUUUCAUAAAAAAUUAUUACUUUGUUAGAGAAAGGCUUGAAAAAAUAUGUAAAUUACUCACCUCUAUUACAAAAAUGUUACAACAGUAGACAAAAAAGGCCAAAAAUACCAAAAGCCGCACCUCCUGAAAUAAAAAACAUAACCAAACGACACAUUCUCAGUAUCUAAACGAUAUCCAGAAAAAAAGAAAUGAACAGACGAAACCCAUGUAAAUAUACAGAACAAACCAAAAAAAAAAAAAAGAACUGAAGCCAGUAAGAAGAUCACAAAUCUGAUAAAGCAAAAGGUAACAUAAUCUAUAUCGAUUUAAUUAUCCAUCCAAAAAGACAUUUGAAUGAAGAACAUUUUUAAGGAUCCAAACAACCAUUAAACUAAACAAUUAAAAGUAAAAACAGCAAAGCAUUCAUUGAAGAAAUAUAUAUAUAUAUAUAUAUUAUAACGUAUUUUGUUCUUUAUACCUAAAAGAAAAACAUUGGCUUUCUUGUAUGCACUGAAGUAUGCAUGUGUCGGAAAUUUACAAUCUAUAGAGACUCAAUCUCAGACUCAAAAAGACAUCUAAAGGAAAAGUAAUAAGAAAAAUAAGUAGUGGUUUUACCUAUACUCCAUGUGUGGACUCCAAUUUUCAAUCACAAUUCAAAAUUCAAGAGGCCUAUAAAUCAACCACAUAGGAAAUGAUCAGUGGAAGAAAAAGAAAAACAACUGAAGCCAAAAUAGCAUCUAACAAAUCAUUUAGAACCAUCACAGAAAACAAUUUUUGCAUAUAAGUAAUUUAAAGGAAUACCAUCAGGUCAUGCAUAUAUACAACGUACCCAAUUAGAUAAGUAGCACAUCAACAAUUGAUGAUCAAAAAGUUAGUCAGCCUCAAUUGCUUGAAUCUAAUUAACUCAAAGAUAAUAAACAGUCCAUUUAAUGCACGGGCUGACUAUCAAUUUUAUAAAGCUAUAAUUCUGUGCAGUUCAAAAACCAAGUGGAAGAAUAGGCAAAAACUAUCUCAUCGCCUGUAAAUGUAAUUAACUAAAUAUUAAACUUCACAGCCACAAAUAAACCUAAAUUCCUCCUAAAACUAUCUCAUUUAAGCUUGAUUUUACUAUAAUCUAUAAGUGUGGUAAAAAAUGGGAGGCCAAACGAUUUGUUAACAAAAAAGGUAGACAUAAAAGUAAAAGGAACAGGGCAGACAUUAGUUGAGGAGAAGCUAAUGUCACCUUGAAUUGACGACAAACAGUUCUUAUCUUCUCGAAUUAACGAAGAUAAGUACCAUUUUUCUUUAAUUCAAGGUAAUAUAAAAAGAAAUUAUACCUGUACAGUGUUCAGAUGUAGCAAUCCUAUGCAAUCGGCCAAAUGAUGUGUGUCCUCUCAAAGAUCUGUAUAUCCAUUACAGACUAAUCUUCAGUCUUGCAGAAAAUGAUAUGUUGACUACAAUUUCCCAUACUACUAAAAAACACAAAUAAUUCUAUCUACAAACCAAAUAAUAUGUGCAACUUUAUGCUACAAUGGUAGAAUAAGAUGGUUGUACAGGACGACACAAAGAUUGAGACUUUUUUUUACUUCUAAAAUUCUACACACUUUCGAGCCCUAAAUUUUCCCGGAAACAAAAAAAAGUGAAAGAAGUCGUACCUGGUUUGAGAGAGUGGGACACCAUCGGCGAGUUUGGUGUAGCAGUGAUGGCGGAGAUCUCUGGUGAGAAAGCUAAUAAGAUGGACAAAAUCAUUGAACAAAAAAAACCUCGCUUUUUAAAAUUAAAGUCAACAAAAAUUUGAACAAAGAAAAGAGAACUCAAACCCGAAACAAAUAAGUCGGAGAACUCGCCAGGAAACCCAAAGUUUCUGCAGGAUUGGCGAUUUCCUGAAAACCAAGCUUUUGUAGGUUUAAAAUUUCUUCCCUAAGGCAACAGAUCCAACAUUCCCAACUUUAGCUAUUUCAGCUACAUAAUAGAAAGAAAAAAAAAUUUAUAUAAUUAACUAAUCUGAUUUAAGAUUAAUCGAAAAGCUUGGAAAUUUCAGCUUUAAAAUUACAUGUCAGGCUGCAAAUCUAAUAAAAAGCGUAGAAUUUUAAAAAUGCUGACCUUAAAUACAGAGGCCUUCGCAGGCUGCAAAGAAGCGUUAGAAACCCGAAAAACCGGAUCUCCUGAAACCAAAAACAAAACCAAAUUAACCAUCAUCACCCAUAAUUCGAAGCCACAAACAUAAUCCCCAAAAUUACAACCCAAAAAUUUAAACAAAAAAACCCAUUUAUAAAUCCAAAUUUACACUCCCAAGUGCAAGACUCUAAGCUCCAACUGUUCUUUCUCAACUUUAGCUAUUUCAGCAACAUAACAUAAAUAAAAAGGUCGUACCCAGUGCACAAGGCUCCCGCUUUACGCAGGGUCUGGGAGAGGUGAAUGUCGGCUAGCCUUACCCCCAUUUUAUGGAGAGGCUGCUCCCAAGUCUCGAACCCGAGACCUACCGCUCAUGGGCGAAGACACUUGCCAUCGCACCAAGUGCGACCUCUAGCAACAUAACAUAAAUAAAAAGAUCGUACCCAGUGCACAAGGCUCCCGCUUUACGCAGGGUCUGGGAGAGGUGAACGUCGGCUAGCCUUACCCCCAUUUUAUGAAGAGGCUGGAACAUAACAUAAAUAAAUAAACAAAAUUAAUUUAACUAUAAUUAACUAAUAUGAUUUAAGAUUAAUCAAAAAACUUGGAAAUCUGCUUGAAUCCAAUCUCAAAAUUGAAAACGAACACUUCACUUUUACAAAAGUUGUACAAAGCAAAAAAAAAAAAACAGACAAAUCAAAGUCUCACAAAGGGCCACAACGACAGCAAAAUUGCAACAGAAAGAGGAAAAAUGUUCAAUCAAACCAUUGGAUAACUCUUCUAAGGCAGCCAAAAAAAAACCCACAAAUUCAAAACCACAAAAAUCCAAUCUAAAACAUCGAUUCACAGACUGAGAUGCACAAAAUGAUAUAUUAACAAAUCCAAAACGAAAUACAAAAAUUAAGAACCAACAAGCAAAAAAAUACUGAUUAUCCCCUGCAUACGUGAGCACACGUUCAAAAAGCCUCUCAAAGGCUGAGAUUCAACUUUCAAACAUAAAGACUUUAAGCCACAAUUGUUCUUUCUUAACUUUAGCUACUUCAGUUACAUAAUCGGAAAAAAAAAAUUAUUUAAUUAUAGUUAACUAAUCUGGGUUAAGAUUAAUAAAAAAGCUUGGAAAUUUCAGAUCUAAAAUCACACCUCAGGCUGCAAGUAGAAUCAAAACCAUGGAAUUUCAAAAUCACUGACCUUAAACACACAGGUCUUCGCAGGCUUCAAAGAAAAGUCACAAACUCGAAAAACCCAAUCUCCUGAAAUCGAAAACAAAACCAAAUUAACCAUCAUCACCUAGAAUCCGAAGCUACAAAACAAAAUUCCCAAAAUCAAAACCAAAAAAUUUGAACAAAAAACUCAUUUAAUAUCCAAAUUUACACUCCCAAGCACAUAACAUUCAAAGCAGACAAUUACCCAAAUCAAAUCGACAGCAGGAGAUGCAAUCUUUUAUGGGCUUCAAAUUUUCUUCAAACCGAGACCAAAUUCGCUAGUUUUCAGCAAGAGAGCGUUGCCGUUUGUAACCCCCGAUGAAAAGAUCCAAACAAAUUUGACUAACAGUAGACAGAGAGAGAGAGAGAUAGAGAGAGAGAGGUGAAAAUUACUCGCUGGUGACGAAGCUAAUGAAUUCGGAGACGCAUUCCUGGACGGUGUUCGACUGAUCGGCACGAGUAGAGACACCAGAUCAGAAAGACAGAAAAAUUAGGGUUUGGGAGAUAAAGAAACUGGGGCAGAGAGAGAGGGAAAGAGAAGCAGAAAAGAGGAUAAUUUUAUGCAUUUUUUUUAGCCGCUUUGAAUUUUUUUUGGCCGACAGGCAUUUGCGUCCGAUUAUUUUUGUCGAAGCCGGUGACACCAAAACCGGCCUCCGGCUUUCGGACCAGGAUUGUCUGCCCCUUCAUUUUCCCUGCCAUGU
RNAcentral lists this long non-coding RNA (5136 nucleotides) under Malus domestica (apple). RNAcentral describes it as "long non-coding RNA (MDOM_LNC014825)". The record is from RNAcentral. Lineage: Eukaryota; Viridiplantae; Streptophyta; Magnoliopsida; Rosales; Rosaceae.